Molecule: ribosomal RNA, 469 nt
Filed under: Digitipes sp. 1 JJ-2011
Lineage: Eukaryota; Metazoa; Arthropoda; Chilopoda; Scolopendromorpha; Scolopendridae
Description: partial 16S ribosomal RNA
Rfam family: Bacterial large subunit ribosomal RNA
Source: RNAcentral
GACCUGCCCAAUGUGAUGAUUAAUGGCCGCGGUAUUUUGACCGUGCGAAGGUAGCAUAAUAAAUAGUCUAUUAAAUGUGGUCUGGAAUGAAAGGUUUGACGAGGGGCAACUUUUUUAGCCUUAUUGAUGAAUUUAAAUUAUUAGUGAAAAUGCUAAUAUGUUUUAGGGGGACGAGAAGACCCUAUAGAGCUUUAUAUAUAUGGGAAUGAGGUAGUAAAUUUUAUCUUUGAUUAUAUUUUGUUGGGGCGACAGUAAAUUAGAAUCAUUUACUCAUUGAACUAAUAUUGCAGAUUAUUUGAUCCAUUAUUAUUGAUUACUAGACUAAGUUACCUUAGGGAUAACAGCGUAAUUUUAUUGUAGAGUUCUUAUCGAUAAUAAAGUUUGCGACCUCGAUGUUGGAUUAAGAUUCUUUUAAGGCGUAGUAGUUUUAAGGAAGUAGUCUGUUCGACUAUUAAAUUCUUACAUGAUC